UCAGCCGCUGGUUCGGGGAGACGAACCUUCCACCUUAGACCAUGGCCAAGUUCAUCCGUAACCUCGCGGACAAGGCACCGUCGAUGGUGGCGGCUGCCGUGACUUACUCGAAGCCUCGAUUGGCCACAUUUUGGCACUAUGCUAGGGUUGAGCUGGUUCCCCCAACCCUUGGUGAAAUCCCUACAGCUAUUCAGAGCAUGAAAAGUAUAAUUCACAGUGCCCAAACUGGUAACUUCAAACACCUCACAGUUAAGGUAAUUCUGCUAAAUGAAAAAGUAUGCUUGUGAUUGAAAAGUGUCUUCCCUGGGGAUAUUUCCAGUUCUUUUGAUUAAUAUAUGUAUUUUCCAGUAAGGCAAACUCCAACAUGAGAGAUUGUCUCUUUUUUGACUGCCAAGGAAAGACAUUUUCUUUUCUCAUUUCGUCAUCUGAAUAGAAGUAAUCCAGCCGUUCUUUGUCUUGGUCUAGUUGUGAUUAUAGAGCAAAAAGGUGCGCGUCCUGAGUUACUGGGAACCUCAUUCUCCUUUCUAAUGCCAUCUACUAUAUUAUAACAUGCUGAUAUAGUUUUUGGGCUUUGUUUUCUUUUUAAGAUUUAUUUAUUAUAUAUAAGUUCACUGUAUUUCAGACACCAGAAGAGGACAUCAGAUCUUAUUACAGAUGGUCGUGAGCCACCAUGUGGUUGCUGGGAUUUGAACUCAAGACCUCUGGAAGAGCAGUCAGUGCUCUUAGUCACUA
This 732-nucleotide long non-coding RNA is filed under the name Rattus norvegicus (Norway rat). RNAcentral's name for it is "long non-coding RNA NONRATT028489". The record is from RNAcentral. Lineage: Eukaryota; Metazoa; Chordata; Mammalia; Rodentia; Muridae.